UACGUAGGGUGCAAGCGUUGUCCGGAAUUAUUGGGCGUAAAGAGCUCGUAGGCGGUUCGUCGCGUCGGCUGUGAAAACCUGAGGCUCAACCUCAGGCCUGCAGUCGAUACGGGCGGACUUGAGUACUGCAGGGGAGACUGGAAUUCCUGGUGUAGCGGUGAAAUGCGCAGAUAUCAGGAGGAACAGCCGAUGGCGAAGGCAGAUCUCCUGGGCCGUAACUGACGCUGAGGAGCGAAAGCAUGGGGAGCGAACAGG
RNAcentral lists this ribosomal RNA (255 nucleotides) under uncultured bacterium. RNAcentral describes it as "partial 16S ribosomal RNA". It matches the Rfam family "Bacterial small subunit ribosomal RNA", at positions 524 to 776 of the family's 1533-position model. The record is from RNAcentral.